This 504-nucleotide ribosomal RNA is filed under the name uncultured microorganism. RNAcentral describes it as "bacterial SSU rRNA". It matches the Rfam family "Bacterial small subunit ribosomal RNA", at positions 9 to 524 of the family's 1533-position model. The record is from RNAcentral.
GAGUUUGAUCGUGGCUCAGGAUGAACGCUGGCGGCGUGCCUAACACAUGCAAGUCGAACGGGAACCCUUGGAUUCGUCUGGGGGGAGAGUGGCAAACGGGUGAGUAACACGUUGGUGACCUGCCCCAAAGAGGGGAAUAACCACUGGAAACGGUGGCUAAUACCCCAUGUGGUCUGUCGGUCGGACGGCAGAUUAAAGCGCCCCAUUAGGGGUUGCGCUUUGGGAGGGGCCUGCGGCCCAUCAGGUAGUUGGUAGGGUAAUGGCCUACCAAGCCGAUGACGGGUAGGGGGCGUGAGAGCGUGAUCCCCCACACUGGCACUGAGGCACGGGCCAGACUCCUACGGGAGGCAGCAGUGAGGAAUAUUGCCCAAUGGACGCAAGUCUGAGGCAGCAACGCCGCGUGGGUGAUGAAGGCCUUCGGUUGUAAACCUUUACUGGGGACGGAGAAAGGACGGUACCUCAGGAGUAAGUCGCGGCUAACUACGUGCCAGCCGCCGCCGUAAG